RNAcentral lists this long non-coding RNA (384 nucleotides) under Citrus sinensis (sweet orange). Its description in RNAcentral is "long non-coding RNA (CSIN_LNC002497)". The record is from RNAcentral. Lineage: Eukaryota; Viridiplantae; Streptophyta; Magnoliopsida; Sapindales; Rutaceae.
GUGAAUUGGAAUCUUAAAAAUUAUCCUAGCAAAUCCACACAACAAACAAUCUAAUGCCUUAAUAAAUUUGAAAGCAAUAAAUUCAAUCAAAGCACAAUAAUUAAAGAGCAAGGGAAGAGAGAGCAAACUCAAGGAUUUUUACGUGGUUCGGCAAUCCCCGCCUACGUCCACGCCUCCAAGCACACCGGGCUUGAGGAUUUCACUAUCCAAGCCUUUCCAAGGCUUCAACGAUUACAAUUGACUUCGAGGUGUCAAUAAACCUUUACAACAAAGAGAUUAUCUCCCAAUCUCUUCACUCAAGUGUCUCACACACUCAAACUCUUACAAAUGAAAUGAAGAAAUGAAAGUUACAAUCAAACUCACUCAAUGAGUAGAUAUUCAAAG